UGGCUCAGAUUGAACGCUGGCGGCAUGCCUUACACAUGCAAGUCGAACGGCAGCACGGGGGCAACCCUGGUGGCGAGUGGCGAACGGGUGAGUAAUACAUCGGAACGUGUCCUGUAGUGGGGGAUAGCCCGGCGAAAGCCGGAUUAAUACCGCAUACGCUCUACGGAGGAAAGGGGGGGAUCUUAGGACCUCCCGCUACAGGGGCGGCCGAUGGCAGAUUAGCUAGUUGGUGGGGUAAAGGCCUACCAAGGCGACGAUCUGUAGCUGGUCUGAGAGGACGACCAGCCACACUGGGACUGAGACACGGCCCAGACUCCUACGGGAGGCAGCAGUGGGGAAUUUUGGACAAUGGGCGAAAGCCUGAUCCAGCAAUGCCGCGUGUGUGAAGAAGGCCUUCGGGUUGUAAAGCACUUUUGUCCGGAAAGAAAACCUCCGCCCUAAUAUGGUGGGGGGAUGACGGUACCGGAAGAAUAAGCACCGGCUAACUACGUGCCAGCAGCCGCGGUAAUACGUAGGGUGCAAGCGUUAAUCGGAAUUACUGGGCGUAAAGCGUGCGC
This 557-nucleotide ribosomal RNA is filed under the name Burkholderia sp. CEL3BA. Its description in RNAcentral is "bacterial SSU rRNA". It matches the Rfam family "Bacterial small subunit ribosomal RNA", at positions 20 to 572 of the family's 1533-position model. The record is from RNAcentral. Lineage: Bacteria; Pseudomonadati; Pseudomonadota; Betaproteobacteria; Burkholderiales; Burkholderiaceae.